Molecule: long non-coding RNA, 253 nt
Filed under: Gossypium barbadense (sea-island cotton)
Lineage: Eukaryota; Viridiplantae; Streptophyta; Magnoliopsida; Malvales; Malvaceae
Description: long non-coding RNA (GBAR_LNC021786)
Source: RNAcentral
AGGGAGAUAAGACUAGAUGCGGUCUGCUCUCUGCAACUUUAGAGAGAUAAGAUUUGUCAUCUUCAGUCUGCCUCACUACCAAUAUAAAAAGACAGGAUCUGCUAUUUUCGAUCUACUUCAAGCCAAUACAUGAAGAUAAUAUCUGCUUUCUUCGAUCUACUUCGCCACCAAUGUGGGAAUACAAGAUCUGCAUCUUCGAUCCACUUCCUACCAAUACAGGAAGACAGGAUAUGUUAUCAUCGAUCUACUUCAC